This 253-nucleotide ribosomal RNA is filed under the name uncultured bacterium. RNAcentral describes it as "partial 16S ribosomal RNA". It matches the Rfam family "Bacterial small subunit ribosomal RNA", at positions 524 to 776 of the family's 1533-position model. The record is from RNAcentral.
UACGGAGGGUGCAAGCGUUAUCCGGAUUCACUGGGUUUAAAGGGAGCGUAGGUGGGUUGGUAAGCCAGUGGUGAAAUCCCCGAGCUUAACUUGGGAACUGCCAUUGAUACUAUCAGUCUUGAAUACUGUGGAGGUUAGCGGAAUAUGUCAUGUAGCGGUGAAAUGCUUAGAUAUGACAUAGAACACCAAUUGCGAAGGCAGCUGGCUACACAAAUAUUGACACUGAGGCUCGAAAGCGUGGGGAUCAAACAGG